RNAcentral lists this ribosomal RNA (465 nucleotides) under Vreelandella stevensii. Its description in RNAcentral is "partial 16S ribosomal RNA". It matches the Rfam family "Bacterial small subunit ribosomal RNA", at positions 338 to 795 of the family's 1533-position model. Lineage: Bacteria; Pseudomonadati; Pseudomonadota; Gammaproteobacteria; Oceanospirillales; Halomonadaceae. The record is from RNAcentral.
CCUACGGGGGGCUGCAGUGGGGAAUAUUGGACAAUGGGGGGAACCCUGAUCCAGCCAUGCCGCGUGUGUGAAGAAGGCCCUCGGGUUGUAAAGCACUUUCAGUGAGGAAGAACGCCUGGUGGUUAAUACCCAUCAGGAAAAACAUCACUCACAGAAGAAGCACCGGCUAACUCCGUGCCAGCAGCCGCGGUAAUACGGAGGGUGCGAGCGUUAAUCGGAAUUACUGGGCGUAAAGCGCGCGUAGGUGGCUUGAUAAGCCGGUUGUGAAAGCCCCGGGCUCAACCUGGGAACGGCAUCCGGAACUGUCAAGCUAGAGUGCAGGAGAGGAAGGUAGAAUUCCCGGUGUAGCGGUGAAAUGCGUAGAGAUCGGGAGGAAUACCAGUGGCGAAGGCGGCCUUCUGGACUGACACUGACACUGAGGUGCGAAAGCGUGGGUAGCAAACAGGAUUAGAUACCCGAGUAGUC